AGUUUCGAAUACUUAUUUAUCUUUUACUGUGCAACCAUAACCUCAAACAGAGCUACGUAUAUGGUAGAAACUGUUCUACAGAUGGGAGUAUAUCUUAUCUCCUCAUGGAGAGCUGUCGACUAUCGUGUAACCCGAGAGUUCCCAUGAUCAUAAACUCAAUCGUUGAUAACGUUGAUGAUCGUGCGCUAAAUUGACCCUCCUGAAGAGACCCGUUGGCAAGGCGAAUGUGUUAGCCAAGGGACAAAACGGAUGCGACGAUCAGCGAGGAAAAAGCGCGUGUCAGUCGGGCAAAGGGGUGUACCCCCUUUUUUCAUUUAAAUUACUCGAAGGCGGUAGUGGCGCGAUGCGGCCAGCAUAACUAAUAGCCUUAUAUUGUGCGCUGCCACUGCCAGUCAAGGCGACUCAAGCGCACUACCACGUCAACCAUUUUGCGAGUCUGUACACGACAGGAAAAUAAUACGGGUUGCACAUAAUCCGUGAAUGCUUUUCGUCUAUUUGGAUCCACCGUUGCACACGGCCCGACAGAGCAUACAACAAUACAGGAUAUGUCACAGUCGCAAGCGAGGAAAUCACGUAAUCGUUUAUACGACUAGCAACCAGUCAGUGAGAAUGGAAAUGUUCUGCGUAGCUACACUUUUCAUCCACUAGACAGAUCGACUUAUCUAUGCACACUGAUCACAACAGACAAAUUAAAAUUCAACGUGCCAAGGAUGGCUCGAGCCAUAUUCCCGCUAUUGUGCAUCGUUUCAUCGCGGAAGGUUAUUAAGCCCAGCAGAUAGGGAGGCAAAGGUACGUAUACAAUAAACCGAGCAACCGAGCGUGACACGAAACGGCGCGAGGAAGCGCAAACAUCCAUUUACGCUCGCAACGGAUGCGUAAAUACGUGCGCAGAAAUAGAGGAAUAAGUGGACGUUGAGCGUGGCUAUUGGCCACGUGUGUACAAAAAGGAAAGGCAAUAUAUACCUGGUCGGCGGACAGGAUAUGUUGGAUAAACUAAUUAACGAUUGAACGAUGUCGGAAGUAAUUAGUCAUUUAUCCUAUUCGUGACGCAAUUAAAUGCUGGAUAGAUUUUUUUUUUAUAGGAAAUUAAUUUGUACAUUUGUGUCGUUUGCGAAUGACGAAUAAACGAAAUCAAUCUCAAGUAAAUGAAAAUAUAUUUUAUAGCAGAUACUGAAGAAAUAUUAUCCUUAUAAAUAUAUAUAUAUAUGUAUAUAUAUACAUAUGAUCGUUAAACAAUAUUGAGAUAGAGAAGAGAUUUAUGAAUGAUAAUUUAUAAUUUAUGGAUACUAAUUUUUUUUAUAACUGAUUAGAAAUUAUAAUUUGUAUAAAUGUUGCAAAAAGUAUCAAGUAUGUCAAAACAAGCAAAAAAUUCUUAAUAAAAGUAAAACAUUUUUAUUAAAUAUGUAAUAGAUUAGAUAAUUGAAGACUAAUUUUCAUAAAUAUUAGAUAUUUCAUAUCGUAAAUAUUACAGGUUUUUCCAGAAUUAUUUAACCUUUAACAAUUUUCCAAGAAUAUUUAUUUACUUUUUUUUUCACAUCAGCAUAAAUAAGACGUAGUUACAUAUUAUUUGAACUUCAUUAUUAAAUUUAUAUUUUUUUUCAUCCAAUAAUAUCUAUUUAAAUAAAUCAUUAUGCUUUAAUUGCUUUAACAAAUGUUGAUGUUAUAUAAAGAGACAUAGGCAAAUAGAUUUUUAAAGAAAUCAAUUUUAAAUUUUUAAUUUUUAUGAAAAAUUGAGAGAAAAAAAUCUUUUAUCUUUAAUCUUUAUUUUUCAUUUUAUUAAGAUAAAAGGAAUAAAGAUUACGAUAAAUUAAUAAUUUUUUACAAGAUUAAAUAUUAGAAAUAUUUUUACAUAUUUUUGAAUAUUUUUGAGAAUAAAAAUAAUAAAAAUACGAUUGUGAUAAAAGUACAUUACAUUUGUACAUACAUUUUUAUCUCAUUUUUAUCUUUAUCCACGUAAAUUCUCAGACUUGUGCUAACUGGACAUUUCUUGUUCAUUUUCUGCAAAUAACGCGUACCUUUGUAUUUCGUAAUUCUAUUUUUAAGUCGCUUUGCGUCGAACAAUUUCAUCUUAAUAAAUAUUUGCAAGAUAUAUAUCUGUGUAUUACAUUAUUAUUUACAUAAUUUUUACAUAGUUUUUAGCAUUAUUUAUAAAAGAAUAUAAAAAAAAAUCGAAUAAAAUUCGAAAUAAUUAUGAAAUCUAUGAAAAUCAAUAUUUAUUAAUAUUUAAGAAAAUAAUAAUUAACUGUAAUUAUUUUCUGAAAUUAUUUUGUACAAUUAUAUUGAUAACCAAUAAAAUAUCGACAAAUAAAAU
Molecule: long non-coding RNA, 2311 nt
Organism: Apis cerana (Asiatic honeybee)
Lineage: Eukaryota; Metazoa; Arthropoda; Insecta; Hymenoptera; Apidae
Source: RefSeq, a predicted model, not a curated record